GCAUAUCAAUAAGCGGAGGAAAAGAAACUAACAAGGAUUCCCUUAGUAACGGCGAGUGAAGAGGGAAGAGCUCAAAUUUUAAAUCUAUCAUGUUUGUACAUGAUCGAAUUGUAAUUUGAAGAAGCAUUUUCUCGUACUUUAUGCAAUCAGUAUAAGUUCUCUUGGAACAGGACAUCAUAGAGGGUGAUAAUCCCGUCUGUUACUGGUUGUGAGGUUCGUUAUGAUACGCUUUCAAAGAGUCGAGUUGUUUGGGAUUGCAGCUCCAAAUGGGUGGUAAACAUCACCUAAGGCUAAAUAUUUGCGAGAGACCGAUAGCGAACAAGUACCGUGAGGGAAAGAUGAAAAGAACUUUGAAAAGAGAGUUAAAAAGUAUGUGAAAUUGUUGAAAGGGAAACGAUUGAAGUCAGUCGUGCAGUCAUCAAUUCAGCGGUUAACAUUUUAUGUUUCCGUGUAAUUUGGUGUCUGUUGGUUAGCAUCAAUUUUGAUUGUUAUAAAAAGGUUAAGGGGAUGUGGCUCCUUCGGGAGUGUUAUAACCCUUAGCGUAAUGUGACGAUUAGGAUUGAGGUUUGCAACGAAUACCUUUUAGGGCAGUUUCACCUGGCCUCUCGUGGAAUUAUAGAUAGUUAAGAGCAUGCUCUUACUGUCUAUGAUUCUACGAAAAGGUUAGUGUAAAACUAAUUCGUUAAGGAUGUUGACGUA
RNAcentral lists this ribosomal RNA (699 nucleotides) under uncultured Glomerales. Its description in RNAcentral is "LSU rRNA". It matches the Rfam family "Eukaryotic large subunit ribosomal RNA", at positions 38 to 633 of the family's 3401-position model. The record is from RNAcentral. Lineage: Eukaryota; Fungi; Glomeromycota; Glomeromycetes; Glomerales; Glomeraceae.